CUGUGGAGCUUUAGACACCAAGACAACUCAUGUUAAGUACCCCUAGACAAAGGACUGAACUUAAUGAAACCUUGAUCUGAUGUCUUUGGUUGGGGCGACCACGGGGAGAGAAAAAACCCCCACGUGGAACGGGAGCACUGCUUCCCCCACAACUAAGAGCGACAGCUCUAAGCAACAGAACAUCUGACCUUAAGAUCCGGCUCUUCCUGCCGAUUAACGGACCGA
RNAcentral lists this ribosomal RNA (225 nucleotides) under Platycephalus sp. A1A2. RNAcentral describes it as "partial 16S ribosomal RNA". The record is from RNAcentral. Lineage: Eukaryota; Metazoa; Chordata; Actinopteri; Perciformes; Platycephalidae.